UCUGAUGUGAAAGCCCCCGGCUCAACCGGGGAGGGUCAUUGGAAACUGGGGAACUUGAGUGCAGAAGAGGAGAGUGGAAUUCCACGUGUAGCGGUGAAAUGCGUAGAGAUGUGGAGGAACACCAGUGGCGAAGGCGACUCUCUGGUCUGUAACUGACGCUGAGGAGCGAAAGCGUGGGGAGCGAACAGGGUUAGAUACCCUGGUAGUCCACGCCGUAAACGAUGAGUGCUGAGUGUUAGGGGGUUUCCGCCCCUUAGUGCUGCAGCUAACGCAUUAAGCACUCCGCCUGGGGAGUACAGUCGCAAGACUGAAACUCAAAGGAAUUGACGGGGGCCCGCACAAGCGGUGGAGCAUGUGGUUUAAUUCGAAGCAACGCGAAGAACCUUACCAGGUCUUGAGAUCCUCUGACAAUCCUAGUGAUAGGACGUCCCCUUCGGGGGCAGAGUGACAGGUGGUGCAUGGUUGUCGUCAGCUCGUGUCGUGAGAUGUUGGGUUAAGUCCCGCAACGAGCGCAACCCUUGAUCUUAGUUGCCAGCAUUCAGUUGGGCACUCUAAGGUGACUGCCGGUGACAAACCGGAGGAAGGUGGGGAUGACGUCAAAUCAUCAUGCCCCUUAUGACCUGGGCUACACACGUGCUACAAUGGACAGAACAAAGGGCAGCGAAACCGCGAGGUUAAGCCAAUCCCACAAAUCUGUUCUCAGUUCGGAUCGCAGUCUGCAACUCGACUGCGUGAAGCUGGAAUCGCUAGUAAUCGCGGAUCAGCAUGCCGCGGUGAAUACGUU
This 784-nucleotide ribosomal RNA is filed under the name Bacillus subtilis. RNAcentral describes it as "bacterial SSU rRNA". It matches the Rfam family "Bacterial small subunit ribosomal RNA", at positions 588 to 1372 of the family's 1533-position model. Lineage: Bacteria; Bacillati; Bacillota; Bacilli; Caryophanales; Bacillaceae. The record is from RNAcentral.